RNAcentral lists this ribosomal RNA (186 nucleotides) under uncultured bacterium. Its description in RNAcentral is "partial 16S ribosomal RNA". It matches the Rfam family "Bacterial small subunit ribosomal RNA", at positions 591 to 776 of the family's 1533-position model. The record is from RNAcentral.
GGCGUGAAAGCCCCCGGCUCAACCGGGGAGGGUCGCUGGUGACUGCCGGGCUUGAAGACAGCAGGGGCAGGUGGAAUUCCGGGUGUAGUGGUGAAAUGCGUAGAGAUCCGGAGGAACACCAGUGGCGAAGGCGGCCGCCUGGACCUGACCUGACGCUGAGGCGCGAAGGCGUGGGGAGCGAACGGG